GGACUACUCGGGUAUCUAAUCCUGUUUGAUCCCCAUGCUUUCGUGCCUGAGCGUCAAUAAAGCGCCAAUUCGCUGCCUUCGCCACUGGUGUUCUUCCGAAUAUCUACACAUUUCACUGCUACACUCGGAAUUCCACGAAUCUCUCGCUUAUUCAAGACCCACAGUAUCAAAAGCAGUUUCGGCGUUAAGCGCCGAGAUUUCACUCCUGACUUAUGAGUCCGCCUGCGCACCCUUUACACCCAGUAAAUCCGGACAACGCUAGGAUCCUACGUAUUACCGCGGCUGCUGGCAC
Molecule: ribosomal RNA, 292 nt
Filed under: uncultured bacterium
Lineage: Bacteria
Description: partial 16S ribosomal RNA
Source: RNAcentral